Molecule: ribosomal RNA, 250 nt
Filed under: uncultured bacterium
Lineage: Bacteria
Description: partial 16S ribosomal RNA
Rfam family: Bacterial small subunit ribosomal RNA
Source: RNAcentral
UACGUAGGUGGCAAGCGUUGUCCGGAAUUAUUGGGCGUAAAGCGCGCGCAGGCGGAUUGGUCAGUCUGUCUUAAAAGUUCGGGGCUUAACCCCGUGAUGGGAUGGAAACUGCCAAUCUAGAGUAUCGGAGAGGAAAGUGGAAUUCCUAGUGUAGCGGUGAAAUGCGUAGAUAUUAGGAAGAACACCAGUGGCGAAGGCGACUUUCUGGACGAAAACUGACGCUGAGGCGCGAAAGCCAGGGGAGCGAACG